GCGAGAGUGGCGGAAUUGGUAGACGCACCAGAUUUAGGUUCUGGCGACUAAUCAUCGUGGGGGUUCGAGUCCCCCCUCUCGCACCA
This 86-nucleotide transfer RNA is filed under the name Rhodanobacter sp. ANJX3. RNAcentral's name for it is "tRNA-Leu". It matches the Rfam family "tRNA". Rfam says of the family: Transfer RNA (tRNA) molecules are approximately 80 nucleotides in length. Their secondary structure includes four short double-helical elements and three loops (D, anti-codon, and T loops). Lineage: Bacteria; Pseudomonadati; Pseudomonadota; Gammaproteobacteria; Lysobacterales; Rhodanobacteraceae. The record is from RNAcentral.